Molecule: long non-coding RNA, 8240 nt
Filed under: Marmota monax (woodchuck)
Lineage: Eukaryota; Metazoa; Chordata; Mammalia; Rodentia; Sciuridae
Source: RNAcentral
GGCAACAAUAGCGGCAGGUCCAGGCACACUUUAAUAUUUAAUUAAGGUUGAUGUUAACCCCCUUUAAAUGACUUUAGCUGUAAGUUAUAUUUAAAUGCAGAAGAGAAAAAUAAUUGUUCUUAAUUUGCAACCUGGUCAGCAGGCAUUCUUCAUGGAGUUAGCUGGAAAUUUAGAGUAGAAUUUUUAAAUAAUGAAAUUUCCCAUCAUAAAUAUUUAUGGCGGUUUGUCUACGUAGUUGAGAAUUAACUACAAGCGAUGAUUUCCUUGUCUCUUUGGUGUGCACUGCUAGCCUAGCGGGCCACUCUGUGCUUGGGAGCCAGCGUGGCUUUCUUGGGAGAAACGUGUGCUUGGAGGGGAAGUCCAGCACCAAGGAUGGCCGGCUGGUUGUGGCCAGCGCCAGUUUCAAAAGAACUGCUGUGAGUCCGUGGGCCACUUGCCUUCCCCUUUAGCUGAGUGUGUGGUUGGAGGACUGUGGCCUACAGUGAGACCGAGUAGAGCGGUCUUACAGGAGGACUUGUGUGUGUUCCGUGGCCCACGCAGUGAGGCCGUGGUGGGGAGUCCUGGCGCCUCUGUCUAGUCAACCUGAGCUCAUUACAAACACUGCUUCCCUAACAGGCACGGGAGCAGCACUUUGCAGGGAUUGACCUUCCACCCUUUUUUCUUUCUGUGACUCACCCUUGCUGAACUGAUUGGCUCUUCCAUGGGCUGUGAGCUUGAGGGCCCAGAAGGGACAAAGCUCCAUCACGGUCUCCGAAGCAGAAGGCAGUGGCAAUUCUUCGUGCCAUAACUGCUAGCUUCCAUGAGUUGACAUCAAGCACAGAGCCAGUCGCAGAGGCCUGGUCCAUGGGCACUUCAGGGUAGACUGCUCUGCUCGGGAUCAGGGAAUGCCUUUUCCCCAUCCUAUUUCUGAUCACACUCUCCAUCCCCAGAACCCUUAGGUGACUACAUGAGGGGUGCGUGUUCCUGCUCAGUACAGCGUCUCAGCACCACUCACCUGAGGACAGAGAGUCCUGCAGGAGCCCUGGGCCAGCCCAGCAGGCAGCAGCCAGGCGAGGCCUGAUCUCUACAGAGACAGAAAGGGUGGACUUGCUGGGGUCUGGAGCACCUGGAAGCUCCAUUUUAGUCCAGACCAAUUAACCGCAUGAUGACCCACCUCCCUCAGGACGACCUCCACACUUUAGCAGAAACCGUUCUUCCAGAAGACAGGAGGCUCUCUGGUGAGCAGUCCCCAGUGACAUAGACAGGGAAGUGCUGUGGAAAGACACUGAGAAGCUACCAGCUCCCUUGGGGUCCAAGGUCAGUGGCAAUGGGAACUUUGCAGAGCCAGUUUACCAGGGACAGGUAGGGCAAAACCAAGAUGGCAGGACAAAUGGGGUGAGACCAGAGGGUGUACAGGUGAAGACAAGGGACUCCUCACCACCAGGGGGUAGAAGGUGGCUGUAGGCUCAUCCCAGUGAAGAGCCCAGAGGGAGGGGCCCAGGCAGGUUGGCCUCACCUUGUUGCACCUGAGAAGAAGCCAGAGAAGGGGAAUGACAGGGUCCCCACCCAGGUCACACACCACCCCUGUCUGCAGCUGCAGGAGCUCCUGAAGAGCUGUGGGGAAAGCACUUCCUCUUCCUGAAUCGCCUCUUACUCCUGCUACAUAAAUAACGAAGGCGGCCCAGCGAGAGGGGGAGAUGCGGGAAGCAGAGCUCUGGACUCUGAUUCCGUGAACCCGUGCCCCCUCCUUCCCUCCAUCCAAACAAGGCCCUUUGGCGUGAAUAACAGCUCAGCGGCUCCGCAGCCCUAUUGAUCGGCUGGUGCCUGGGCUUUUCCUGGGGCCAGGACUGCUGGAGCCAGCCGCCCCGCCCCUCCCCGCCCCCUGCAGGUGUGCUCAGGAGGGGACAGCACCGGGAAGGUGGGGGUGGGGGGAGCCAGGCCCUGCUCUGGCUCAGCACGGCUUCAUUGCCGCAACUUUUUUGUUUUUAACUUAUUUUGGCAGGAAAGGUACCCAAGUUAGAAAUGUUUUUUCAUGACGAGGCCCCACGGAGUUGAAAAUGAACACAACCUCCGGCUGCAGCUUCUCUCCAGAAGAUUCUGCCAAGGACCCAGGCCACAGAGGCAUGGUCAGCUGACACUUCCAGGGGCCCUUCUGGGCACUCAGCUUUGGACUAAGCCCUUGGGCCUAUCGUGCUGCAAUUCCCAGUUAUUUUCCCUGCCCUCCGCAAUCAGGAGGGAGAGGGCCAAGCAAGUGGUGCAGCCAUCACCUGGGGGGCUGGGGGACUGUUGCUGAAUUCAGUGGAGAAGUGCCUGCCAUGGCCCAUGACCAGCAGAGACUGCAUCCUGCCACCCCAUUCCCUAACUAAUACUGACCCAACCGUCCCCUGCCCUCUCUGCAUCUCUUCUGGACACAGGAAGUCAUCAAGGCCUUAGCCCCUUGAGGGACACAGUCGUGAGGUCAGCAGGCCCCAGCACAGUGACACCUGAAAUCUCACCCCUAAAGAUCCAUUCCUCUGGUUUCCAGUUUUUUUGUUUUGUUUUGUUUUUAGUACAGGGGAUUGAACUCAGGGGCACUCAACCACUGAGCCACAUCCCCAGACCUAUUUUGUAUUUUUUUUAAAGACAGGGUCUCACAGAGUUGCUUAGCACCUCGCCAUUGCUGAGGCCGACUUUGAACUCACAAUUCUCUCUUCUCAGCCCCCCAAGCUGCUGGGAUUACAGCCGUGCACCACUGAGCCCAGCUUAGUUUCUGGCUUUUAAUGCUAGAGAAAUGCAGGUUCAUUUUUCCCUGGGCGGCUCCCAUCCCACCAGCUGCAGAUUUCUUUGGGUGAAACAUCUGACCCUUCCUUGGGAGCUGAUUAUGAGUUUGGGGAAGGGGGGACCCACCACCUGAGGGAGCACUUGGUGGUUUCUGGGAGAAGCAUCCUUGCUCCCUGGGACGAGCUCCCUGGAGGUUUCUGGGUCUCAGCGGCCUUAGGUAAUGGAGGGUCACCGGGACCUUGCACUACAGGUCCACGUACUCCUGAUCAGGCCCAGUUAUUAAGGACUGUGCUGUGCCCAGGGCUGCAUUUGGACAAUCACAGGGUCAGAAAAUGGGCUCUGCCAAGCAGCAGAGGUCCCCUGGGCAGGUCCCACCACAGUGUCCUUGUGGAGCAGGGUUGGGGGCAGGCAGGGAGGUCAGAGUGGAGAUAGGCAGGUAACCCUGGGUCCUGCACAUCAUUCCCACUGAGCUGUUCCAGCCUUGUCUGGCCCCAGCCCUGCUGAGAGUGGGAAGCCCAAGGUCACUGUGCUACAUAAAUUGGCAUUUGGGAAAGGCCCCAAACGGAUUUUUUUAUGCCCUGAACAGACCCUCCCACACUGUUCCCUCAAGUGUCUUGGUACAGGGGACAUCCUGGUGAACAGAACCUCUCUCUGCAUCUCCUCUCAUUCACCCCACCCCUCCUGGCUCCCACUUCCUCUGCAUUUCUAAAAGGGGAAGGCACUAGAGUGAGGAGAACCAGGUGGCUUUAGUGAGCUCACCACAGUCCUGAUAAGACUUCAAAAUCAUCAGACCUUUCCCUAGGUGGAGGAGAGGUGUAUUCAGAUUUAUUCAUCCAGUCAAUAAAUAUUUACUGAGCAUCUACUGUGUUCCAGGCCCCAAGGACACACAACGAAGAAAUUAAAUAGGAAGUCAGAGGCUCGCUGCACUGGGGUGCGGAAGUCAGAAAGCCUUUUCACUCCUGGUGUCCUGACUUGCUUUCUGAUCUUGGACAGGUCACUCUCGGUCUCAAAAUCAGGUUGAGAGACCCUGCUUCUGCUGCCCUCCACGGCUGCCCCUGAGGUCAAUACAAAGCCCUUUCCAGACACAGUGCUCAGUGUCCCUUUCUCUUUGCAAUUCCCAGGACUGCCUUUGCAAAAGAGGAUAUGAAUAGGGAUGAUAGCAGUGACGGUGGCCGUGAGUACAUAGGUUCUCAUCAGCACUGGCCCACACUCAGGACUGGCCCACGAGAUGCCGAGGAACAGGGCUUUUUUUUUUUUUUUUCUUCUCCUUCUUGUUAAAUGAUAAAGGUCUGACUUGGCGGGCAAUCAGAAGCCCAAAAUAUCAUAAAAGGGAAAAAAGUUGCCGAGUGGCUAAGAGGUGCACCACGGGAGUGUCGCGCAGGGCGCAGCCGGCAAGGUGGAUGCUGAGCAGCAAGCAGCGAGGGGGAGGAAAUGCAGCCAGAGACAUUUUCAAAGGCUUUUCUCUCCUUCUUCUCCUCCCUGGUCCCCAUACCAAAAGGGGAAAUUGAAGCCAAAUCCAGAUCUGGGUGUGGGGCUGGUUUGUCCCACACACACCCUCCCCCAAGACGGUAGAGAAACUUUGAUGUCUGAGCACGUGGCUUGGGAGCAGGGAGGAGCUGGACAUCCCAGCCAUGCAGCCGCGUGCUGCAGUCUCCGCUGGGCCUGUCUGAACCCCAGUGUGAGAGAUGAGGCCCACGGGGCUGGCUGCAGCAGGGUUCUGAAAUGGGGAAAUGAUCCCCGUCUUCCCAGCCACCCUGACAACAGUUCUCACGUGGGAGGAGCACAGAUGCACAGAACCCGGCGCAGGCAGGCACCAGGGGUCAUGUUGGUCAACUUACUUGUUUUCAGAUAGAAAAAUGGGCUCAGGGAGGGAACGAGGCUUGCCAAAGACCUCUCAGCAAAUCGGUGACUCAGCCACCAGUGGACUCCGGGCCUUCAGCUCCAGGAAGCUUCUUCCCUCCCGCGCCCAUCCUCCCAGCAACCCCAGGUCAGGGCACCCACCCUUCUCAGGCUUACAAGGGCCCCAGGGCUGGUGGCCUGGGUAGUGCUGGCUUCUGCACCCCUGGUGCUGAAGUUCCCCACAGCCACGGGGAAGCUCAGCUCCAUCCCUGUCUGCCGUGGCUCCUUUCCCCCUGAAUGUCAAGUCCUUGAGGGAGCAAGGGAUGCCCUGGGUCUCUCCUUGGCUGAGCUCCCAGGUUCAUCCUGGGAAAACAUUUCUUGUGAUAUCUUCUCAGCCACCAUCGCUAGCUCUCUACUCCCCCAGGAGACACUGUGAGAAAUGAUUAAGUAAUAAACACCCCCCACCCCAACACUGAGCCCCUGGGGACUCCCAGAGACUCUGGGCCACCUAUGCUAAGGGGAUGCUGCUUUAGAACUGUGGAGCCCUGAGAAGACUCUCGGCCCCUGGUGGUUGUGGCUGAAGAUGACUUCACCCAGGAGUAGCUUGGCAGAGAGUCUCAUGAGGCCUUGGUCUUUGCCAAAACAAGUCAGCCUCAGGUCCCAGGUCUCUGACAUGUGGACUCUGCAGGUCACACCCUGCUCUGGGCCGGUUUCCCCUCCCACAAAUGGGAAAGCUAGACUGGAAAGACUCCCAGGAAGGUAGGUCUCUGCCAGGUCCCCAUCACCCAUGGUAGAAGAAAAAAGGGGAAGUUCCUGACCCAGUAGGGACGGAAGGAUCCACACAGCAGCCUCUGGUGUGCAAACCCCUCCAGAAGAUGAGGAAACCUGACACGCUGAGCUUCUGUGUGGUCUUGGAUGUAGGACUGGUGUCACAGCUGUGUGAUCAGUGCAGUCACAUGACCCGUGCUCAGAGGGGCCCCUUCUGAGCUUGGGGGUUAAUGUUCUGCAGUCCCAUCCAAAAAUUCCUAAUAAUUUUGUCUUUGUAAUUGUGCUUGUAAGUGAUGUCCAGUGGGACAGUGGGCCAGGAAACGGGGACUUGAAGCCUCCUACCAUCUCACUUCUGGGGUCCAGGUCUCAGUGUCUCAUUUUUCUGCUCCCUGAAGCCCCAGUGCUGCUCAGCCUCUGUCUUCCUGCGCCUGCCCAGCAACUGUUUCCAACAGGCACAGAGAGGGUGAAAGAUCAAGUCGGGCAUGCACAGCCCUGGGAUCUUGGAGUGAGGCACUGUGGCCGCUGUCACCACCCUAGCUGUCACUGUCAUGGCACAUUCAACAGGAUGACCAGAUGGAAGUGAGCCAGUGUGUCCUCAGAGUCCCUGUGGAUUGCCCAUCUGAGGUGGGUUGGGCAGGGGUCUUGUGAAAGGGGCAGAUGCUAGGUUCAACCUCCUGCCCUAGGUGUGGGGUACAACAUGUUGGUCCAGAGAUGGGCAGGAAAGAAUCAGCAACCGGGCUCAAAUGCUAUGCAUGCCCAAAUUAGCUCAGCCCCUGUGAGGGCCUGCAGUCCCCCUGGAAGGCUCUUCAUGGACCCCAUUCGCCAGCUCCAUACCUGAGAGGACCCACCUUCCUGGGUCUAGCAUGUUUCUUCUGGCCAGCCCCUGGCACCCUCUGGAGACAGCAUGCAACUCCAUCGGGUGUUAAAUAUUCCAAGAUUUCCACUUAAAACAGGCAUUGCACAAUGUAAAGAUGAGCGGUAAGAGUCAUGCUAAUAACUUAAAAUUUUAACUUAGAGCUUUAACAAGCAAAUUAAAAACACCAUGACGAGUCUAAAGAGCCCAGGGAAAAGCAGGAAGGCGCUGAGGUUCUUGCUGUUUUACAGGAGGCCCCACAUUUUCAUUUUGCAGCGUGUCCCACAAAUUACGUAGCCAGUCCUUCCUGGAUGAGUCACUUUCCCUCUUGGGCAUACAUUUCCCUAUCAGUAGGCCUGACCCUUAUGUUGUCCUUGUCCCUUCCUUGCAACUGGGCACAUUAGGAACAUGCUCAUGGAAAGACCCAUGGAAGAGAUCGGGGAAGUAGUCUAUGGGGCCAGUCCUCCACCUUGGAGUCACCAGGCCUCUCUCCGUUUUCCUUUUUUGUGCUGGUAUUAGUGCAUUAUAGUUAGACACAAUAGUUGGGUUAAGGCCCUUUUUCUUAAAAGGAGAUCUGGACUGGAAUCCAGAGAAAGUUCAGCCUGCUCAUGAAGAUCCAACCACCGUUGAUAAGUCAGUCUCUACCCGAGGUGUUCCCCCUGGAAAAUAUGUUCUAAAACUGAGGCCCCCGUCUUUUCAGGUACCUCAGAAUAGAGGUAUGAAGCACUCAGAGAUUCAAUUUAACUCAGAAAUCCAAGAGAGUUAUGAAAUCAAGUCCUCAUCUGGUCCAAAAACUGAGGCCUUACAAUUCGCAAACCCCAUCCUUGAUCUCCACACCCAUCCAUUCAGUUUCCAGAUGAUGUCAGGAUGUUGGAGCUCGAUCCAAGGUUGCCAACAUGAAAGAGGCUGGGUGCCGGCCAGGUGUGUGUUGGCAGGUGUCAUCCGCUUGGGAGUGGUGCAGGUUUUGAUUCCACUUCCACUUCCCAGAAGAACGUGUCCCCAAUGUGGAGCUGUUUUCUAAGCUAUCAUUCAUUAGGGUUUCAAGUGCAGCUUUCAGUCCGCUUCAUGUGACACUCAAGGAUGCAACUGCCCAAGGUUAAAUGGGUCUGAAGUAGCAUCGUGUCAUUCUGCAGAAAGUUCUGCUGCUUUAUGGAAUGAGUGAAUGAGUCAGUGUAGACCAAGUUGCCUCCAGUGGAGUCCAAAUACAGCAUUACCUACUCAGCAGUGUCAUUACAGGAUCAGGAAAAAUUCAGUGAUCCCUAUUUGGUUUCUUUGGCUCUUCCCCAAUAUCAGAUGGUCAGUCUCUCUCUUUUUCCCUCCCUCUCUCUCUCUAUCUCUCCCUCCCCCCCUUCUCCCUCCUUCUGUCUCUCGUUAAUGUGUUGGGGUUUUUAUCUUAUUUCCCAUAUUACAUUUUGCGUAAUAUCUCCUAACUCCAGCUCAGCUUCCUAAAGAUAAUUCAUUAGGCUUGAGAGCUGCUCCAGCGUGGGAUUAGAACCCGUGUAGGACACAGUCACGUUAAACUGAGAUCCGCUAAUUAAUCGCUCUUCUCUGUGUAACUGGUGAUAGCGCUUCUUCCCCAGGGAAUUGCAAUUUCAUGGUUCCUAAUGAUGCUGCGAUUACAUUAUCUGGACCGCUUAGGCCUGGGGUGUCAGGAGCCGUGCCCAGAGCCUGUCGCAGGGAUGGGAGAAAUCACUCCGCAAACCCAGGGGGUGGAAGGAGGGAAGCUGGAAUUUCUGUUGCUGGUUUUCAUUAAUGUGCGCUUCUUGCUCACAUCUCGCUCAGACAUUAGCCUCGAGUUCCAUUGUCUCUCAGCUCCACAAUGCCUUUUGCCCCAGAACCCUCACAUUUUUUCUAGUAUUCCCAGGGAGAUUGUUUGUAAAAAUCUAUUUAUUUGCUAUAUUCCACAAAGUAAUUUAUUUCAGCAUUUAUUUUCAUUAGAUUUCUUGGAAAUGUGGUUCUACAUGUUGUUAGUACAAGUAAUACAUUUUGAUGGUUGUUUCCUGAACUACCUUGUAUUAUUGGAUCAGUUAAAUAAAAUGCC